GGGGGGGGGGGGGGCUAAUACAUGCAAGUCGAGCGGACAGAUGGGAGCUUGCUCCCUGAUGUUAGCGGCGGACGGGUGAGUAACACGUGGGUAACCUGCCUGUAAGACUGGGAUAACUCCGGGAAACCGGGGCUAAUACCGGAUGCUUGUUUGAACCGCAUGGUUCAAACAUAAAAGGUGGCUUCGGCUACCACUUACAGAUGGACCCGCGGCGCAUUAGCUAGUUGGUGAGGUAAUGGCUCACCAAGGCGACGAUGCGUAGCCGACCUGAGAGGGUGAUCGGCCACACUGGGACUGAGACACGGCCCAGACUCCUACGGGAGGCAGCAGUAGGGAAUCUUCCGCAAUGGACGAAAGUCUGACGGAGCAACGCCGCGUGAGUGAUGAAGGUUUUCGGAUCGUAAAGCUCUGUUGUUAGGGAAGAACAAGUACCGUUCGAAUAGGGCGGUACCUUGACGGUACCUAACCAGAAAGCCACGGCUAACUACGUGCCAGCAGCCGCGGUAAUACGUAGGUGGCAAGCGUUGUCCGGAAUUAUUGGGCGUAAAGGGCUCGCAGGCGGUUUCUUAAGUCUGAUGUGAAAGCCCCCGGCUCAACCGGGGAGGGUCAUUGGAAACUGGGGAACUUGAGUGCAGAAGAGGAGAGUGGAAUUCCACGUGUAGCGGUGAAAUGCGUAGAGAUGUGGAGGAACACCAGUGGCGAAGGCGACUCUCUGGUCUGUAACUGACGCUGAGGAGCGAAAGCGUGGGGAGCGAACAGGAUUAGAUACCCUGGUAGUCCACGCCGUAAACGAUGAGUGCUAAGUGUUAGGGGGUUUCCGCCCCUUAGUGCUGCAGCUAACGCAUUAAGCACUCCGCCUGGGGAGUACGGUCGCAAGACUGAAACUCAAAGGAAUUGACGGGGGCCCGCACAAGCGGUGGAGCAUGUGGUUUAAUUCGAAGCAACGCGAAGAACCUUACCAGGUCUUGACAUCCUCUGACAAUCCUAGAGAUAGGACGUCCCCUUCGGGGGCAGAGUGACAGGUGGUGCAUGGUUGUCGUCAGCUCCUGUCAUGAGAUGUUGGGUUAAGUCCCGCAACCAACGCAACCCUUGAUCUUAGUUGCCAGCAUUCAGUUGGGCACUCUAAGGUGACUGCCGGUGACAAACCCGAAGAAAGGUGGGGAU
Molecule: ribosomal RNA, 1164 nt
Filed under: Lactiplantibacillus plantarum
Lineage: Bacteria; Bacillati; Bacillota; Bacilli; Lactobacillales; Lactobacillaceae
Description: bacterial SSU rRNA
Rfam family: Bacterial small subunit ribosomal RNA
Source: RNAcentral